This is a long non-coding RNA of Oncorhynchus keta (chum salmon), 1602 nucleotides long. RefSeq lists it as uncharacterized. The record is from RefSeq and is a predicted model, not a curated record. Lineage: Eukaryota; Metazoa; Chordata; Actinopteri; Salmoniformes; Salmonidae. The transcript is spliced from 5 exons.
UUAAAAACAACAUUUUAAAAUAACUAUUGUUAUUAUUAUUAAAAGGUAAAUUGCGUGAAUGAAAGAAUACAGACCAAAGUAAAAAACAAACAUAAUAACUGAUACAAUCACAGCUGUAAUACCUUGUCCUCCCUGAUCAAUAAUGGUAUCAGUUUCACUCUGUUGGUAUUGAUGGCUGGUAUAGGUCUCACUCUGAUGGUAUUGAUGGAUGGUAUAGGUCUCACUCUGAUGGUAUUGAUGGAUGGUAUAGGUCUCACACUCUGCUGGUAUUGAUGGAUGGUAUAGGUCUCACUCUGAUGGUAUUGAUGGCUGGUAUAGGUCUCACACUCUGAUGGUAUUGAUGGCUGGUAUAGGUCUCACACUCUGCUGGUAUUGAUGGCUGGUAUAGGUCUCACUCUGCUGGUAUUGAUGGAUGGUAUAGGUCUCACUCUGCUGGUAUUGAUGGCUGGUAUAGGUCUCACUCUGCUGGUAUUGAUGGAUGGUAUAGGUCUCACUCUGAUGGUAUUGAUGGCUGGUAUAGGUCUCACACUCUGCUGGUAUUGAUGGCUGGUAUAGGUCUCACUCUCUGAUGGUAUUGAUGGAUGGUAUAGGUCUCACUCUCUGAUGGUAUUGAUGGCUGGUAUAGGUCUCACACUGCUGGUAUUGAUGGAUGGUAUAGGUCUCACUCUGCUGGUAUUGAUGGAUGGUAUAGGUCUCACUCUCUGAUGGUAUUGAUGGAUGGUAUAGGUCUCACUCUCUGAUGGUAUUGAUGGCUGGUAUAGGUCUCACACUGCUGGUAUUGAUGGAUGGUAUAGGUCUCACUCUGAUGGUAUUGAUGGAUGGUAUAGGUCUCACUCUGCUGCUAUUGAUGGAUGGUAUAGGUCUCACUCUCUGCUGGUAUUGAUGGAUGGUAUAGGUCUCACACUCUGCUGGUAUUGAUGGAUGGUAUAGGUCUCACACUCUGCUGGUAUUGAUGGAUGGUAUAGGUCUCACUCUCUGCUGGUAUUGAUGGAUGGUAUAGGUCUCACACUCUGCUGGUAUUGAUGGAUGGUAUAGGUCUCACACUCUGCUGGUAUUGAUGGAUGGUAUAGGUCUCACUCUCUGCUGGUAUUGAUGGAUGGUAUAGGUCUCACACUCUGAUGGUAUUGAUGGAUGGUAUAGGUCUCACUCUGAUGGUAUUGAUGGCUGGUAUAGGUCUCACUCUGAUGGUAUUGAUGGCUGGUAUAGGUCUCACUCUGAUGGUAUUGAUGGCUGGUAUAGGUCUCACUCUGAUGGUAUUGAUGGAUGGUAUAGGUCAUUUACAUUUACAUUUACAUUUAAGUCAUUUAGCAGACGGUCUCACACUCUGAUGGUAUUGAUGGCUGGUAUAGGUCUCACUCUGCUGGUAUUGAUGGAUGGUAUAGGUCUCACUCUGCUGGUAUUGAUGGCUGGUAUAGGUCUCACUCUGCUGGUAUUGAUGGCUGGUAUAGGUCUCACUCUGCUGGUAUUGAUGGAUGGUAUAGGUCUCACUCUGCUGGUAUUGAUGGCUGGUAUAGGUCUCACUCUGCUGGUAUUGAUGGAUGGUAUAGGUCUCACUCUGCUGGUAUUGAUGGAUGGUAUAGGUCUCACUCUGCUGGUAUUGAU